This 329-nucleotide unclassified non-coding RNA is filed under the name uncultured fungus. RNAcentral describes it as "partial contains 5.8S ribosomal RNA and internal transcribed spacer 2". The stretch from base 1 to 133 matches the Rfam family "5.8S ribosomal RNA", at positions 22 to 154 of the family's 154-position model. Lineage: Eukaryota; Fungi. The record is from RNAcentral.
UGGUUCUGGCAUCGAUGAAGAACGCAGCGAAAUGCGAUAAGUAAUGUGAAUUGCAGAAUUCAGUGAAUCAUCGAAUCUUUGAACGCACAUUGCGCCCAUUAGUAUUCUAGUGGGCAUGCCUGUUCGAGCGUCAUUUCAACCCUUAAGCCCCUGUUGCUUAGCGUUGGGAGCCUACAGCACUCGCUGUAGCUCCUUAAAAUUAGUGGCGGAGUCGGUUCACACUCUAGACGUAGUACUCUUUACCUCGCCUGUAGUGAGACCGGUCCCCUGCCAUAAAACCCCCCAAUUUUUAAAAGGUUGACCUCGGAUCAGGUAGGAAUACCCGCUGA